This 72-nucleotide transfer RNA is filed under the name Camelus bactrianus (Bactrian camel). It matches the Rfam family "tRNA". Rfam says of the family: Transfer RNA (tRNA) molecules are approximately 80 nucleotides in length. Their secondary structure includes four short double-helical elements and three loops (D, anti-codon, and T loops). Lineage: Eukaryota; Metazoa; Chordata; Mammalia; Artiodactyla; Camelidae. RNAcentral also lists the same sequence under 2 other names. The record is from Rfam by way of RNAcentral.
GAGGGUAUAGCUCAGUGGCCGAGUGCAUGCUUAGCAUGCAUGAGGUCCUGGGUUCAACCCCCAGUACCUCCA